CUGGGUACAAUCAAAUACUUGCAAAGUUUGUGUGUGGAUCAAGAUACGAUUGAUCCCUCCAGAUUAUAAGAGCUGGUGCAUCGUUGUAUGUUAAUUUAGUAAAAUCUUAACCAAAAUGAUCCAUGAGAUAGAUUUGAAAGGUUGAAAUAUAAUGUGGAUAAAAUACUCUAGGUUGAUAGGUAAACCUAGAUCAUCCUAGAGCAUUCAGGA
This 210-nucleotide long non-coding RNA is filed under the name Elaeis guineensis (African oil palm). RNAcentral describes it as "long non-coding RNA (EGUI_LNC008587)". The record is from RNAcentral. Lineage: Eukaryota; Viridiplantae; Streptophyta; Magnoliopsida; Arecales; Arecaceae.